RNAcentral lists this ribosomal RNA (253 nucleotides) under uncultured bacterium. Its description in RNAcentral is "partial 16S ribosomal RNA". It matches the Rfam family "Bacterial small subunit ribosomal RNA", at positions 524 to 776 of the family's 1533-position model. The record is from RNAcentral.
UACGUAGGGGGCAAGCGUUAUCCGGAUUUACUGGGUGUAAAGGGUGCGUAGGUGGCAGGGCAAGUCAGAUGUGAAAGCCCGGGGCUCAACCCCGGUAUUGCAUUUGAAACUGUCCGGCUGGAGUGCAGGAGAGGUAAGCGGAAUUCCUAGUGUAGCGGUGAAAUGCGUAGAUAUUAGGAGGAACACCAGUGGCGAAGGCGGCUUACUGGACUGUAACUGACACUGAGGCACGAAAGCGUGGGGAGCAAACAGG